GCAGGGCCGCAUCCAUUUUGCGUCGCUGCUGCGGGGCGGUGCGACAGUGAAGAGCUGGACGUCGGGGAGGAAGGAGAGAACUGCCCAUUAGCCGAGUGCUGACCACCUCGCGUCCGCCCGGCUCGGCUCACACCGAGACCCGCAGCCCAGUGACCUCCGCCGCACACCGCCAUGAGCGGCUGCCGUGUCUUCAUCGGGAGGCUGAACCCGGCUGCCAGGGAGAAGGAUGUGGAGAGGUUCUUCAAAGGAUACGGUCGCAUACGGGACAUCGAUCUGAAGAGGGGGUUUGGGUUUGUGGAAUUUGAGGAUCCGAGGGAUGCAGAUGAUGCUGUCUAUGAACUGGAUGGAAAAGAGCUUUGUAGUGAGAGGGUUACAAUCGAGCAUGCAAGAGCACGCUCUAGGGGUAGAGGCAGAGGGAGGUACUCUGACCGUUUUAGUAGCCGCCGUCCACGCAGUGACAGGAGAAAUGCUCCACCUGUAAGAACAGAAAAUCGUCUCAUAGUAGAAAAUUUGUCAUCCCGAGUCAGCUGGCAGGAUCUCAAAGACUUCAUGAGACAAGCUGGGGAAGUAACCUUUGCAGAUGCACACAGACCUAAGUUAAAUGAAGGGGUGGUUGAAUUUGCCUCUUACAGUGAUUUAAAGAAUGCUAUCGAAAAGCUUUCUGGUAAAGAAAUUAAUGGAAGGAAAAUCAAACUAAUUGAAGGCAGCAAAAGGCACAGUAGGUCCAGAAGCAGGUCACGGUCUCGUAGCAGAAGCUCAUCCAGGUCUCGGAGUCGUUCCCGCUCCCGCAGCCGCAAAUCCUACAGCAGGUCAAGGAGUAGGAGCCGUAGCAAGUCUCGAUCAGUUAGCAGAUCUCCAGUGCCAGAGAAAAGCCAGAAACGUGGUUCUUCCAGUAGAUCUAAAUCUCCGUCAUCUGAGGAUCGGCAGAGGUCUAGAUCAAGAUCCAGAUCUGUUGACAGUGGCAACUGAGCUUAUAGUUCAGUUAUGGGGGCCCUUUUUUUAAACCAUACUUGCUAAAAAUUGUGUCAUCCUUCAGCAUGACGCUGAAUAGCAGGUAAAAGGCUCUUGUAGCAGCUGCUCAGCUGUCCCGAAGGACUAGAGAAAGCUGGUUUGGAAGCAUCAGAAGGCUGACUUGUGGAAGACUUCAUGCAGCAGUGCAUUCUCCAGUCUUCACUGACACUCAGCUGGGCUUUGGCAUUGUGGACCUGCUGAAGUUGGGCAAGUCUACCUCACAUCUGUACUAAUGCCGUAUUUUAAUUAAACUGGACUCUAUUUAUAUACUUUGCUAGCAAAAGAUCCAAAUAUUUCCUUCCUUCAGCUGCAGUACUUGGCAGUUCUGUCCUCUUCUUCCUACUCCAAAAGUGACACUGUUCAGUGAACCUCUCAAAUCUCAGCUUUGCUACAAACUGUUGUGGCAUUAAAAAGUGUCUAAUGUUCUCGUGUAGUUUUAUUCCAUAUAAACACCCUAGUUCUUUGCAUGUGCUCAGUGCAAGUCAUAGCUUUAGCAGGAUGUCCAUCCUAGUUUGAGCACAGGCCUCAGAAAGUCUCUAAGCACUGAUAGUAUACAGCUAUAUGAAACAUUCUGAUGAUGCAAGAAGUCGUAAUUUCUAAUGUCUUCAGUUACCUCUGAAUUUUUGACUGUGAUUUGUAUUUGAUGUAUUGAGUAGGUAACCCUGAGUUUAAAAGGUGACUGGAUGCUGCCUCUAAAAGGCAGUGAUUCAUUGGUAGUUGUACUUUAAAUGUAUGCAGUUUGGACUGGAAAGUGUACAAAAUGCAGCAGCAAAGCUGUACUUGC
This is an RNA transcript of Neopsephotus bourkii (Bourke's parrot), 1795 nucleotides long. It is a transcript of the gene named serine and arginine rich splicing factor 5, with no coding region annotated. The record is from RefSeq and is a predicted model, not a curated record. NCBI's taxonomy places the organism in Eukaryota, Metazoa, Chordata, Aves, Psittaciformes, Psittacidae. The transcript has 9 exons.